GGACGAGAAAGGAGACUUCGGUCUCUGAGUACAGUGGCGCACGGGUGCGUAACACGUAAGUAAUCUACCCCGAACUCUGGGAUAACCCUCCGAAAGGAGGGCUAAUACUGGAUAGGGUCCCCGAGGUGUAGACUGCGGGGGGAAAACGGGCCUCUGUUUCAUGCUCGUGGUUUGGGAUGAGCUUGCGGCCCAUUAGCUAGUUGGUAAGGUAAUGGCUUACCAAGGCAACGAUGGGUAGCUGGUCUGAGAGGAUGAUCAGCCACACUGGCACUGAGACACGGGCCAGACUCCUACAGGAGGCAGCAGUGGGGAAUUUUGCGCAAUGGGCGAAAGCCUGACGCAGUAACGCCGCGUGGAGGAUGAAGGCCUUCGGGUUGUAAACUCCUGUCAGGAGGAACGACGGGGAAGGGGUGAUAAACCCUUUCCUCCAGACGGUACCUCCAAAGGAAGCCCCGGCUAAUUCCGUG
RNAcentral lists this ribosomal RNA (467 nucleotides) under uncultured bacterium. RNAcentral's name for it is "bacterial SSU rRNA". It matches the Rfam family "Bacterial small subunit ribosomal RNA", at positions 64 to 507 of the family's 1533-position model. The record is from RNAcentral.